Molecule: ribosomal RNA, 468 nt
Filed under: uncultured bacterium
Lineage: Bacteria
Description: partial 16S ribosomal RNA
Rfam family: Bacterial small subunit ribosomal RNA (bases 62-468)
Source: RNAcentral
GGGGGGGGGGGGGGGGGGGGGGGGGGGGGGGGGGGGGGGGGGGGGGGGGGUGGGGGUGGGGGGGGCGGGAGUGGGGAGCGGGUGAGUAACGCGUGAGUAACCUGCGGUGGGCUUUGGGAUGACUUCAGGGAACUGGGGCGAAGACCGGGUAGGCGCUCCUGCUGCAUUGUGGGGGUUGGACAGUUUCGGCGGUUGGGGAUGGACUCGCGGCUGAUCAGCUUGUUGGUGGGGUAGGAGCUUACCAAGGCGUUGACGGGUAGCCGGCCUGAGAGGGUGACCGGCCACAUUGGGACUGAGAUACGGCCCAGACUCCUACGGGAGGCAGCAGUGGGGAAUAUUGCACAAUGGGCGGAAGCCUGAUGCAGCAACGCCGCGUGCGGGAUGACGGCCUUCGGGUUGUAAACCGCUUUCGCCUGUGACGAAGCGUGAGUGACGGUAAUGGGUAAAGAAGCACCGGCUAACUACGUG